AUAUCUCUCNGUACGGGAAGGAUGAGAAGCUUCGAYUAAGGUUCGAUUCGAGCGCAGCGAGAAAGCGUUGCCGCAGGCAACGACCCGAAGGGCGAAGCGCGCAGCGCUGAGUCAUCCUUCCCCCACCACCA
Molecule: small RNA, 131 nt
Filed under: Salmonella enterica subsp. enterica serovar Enteritidis str. SA19992322
Lineage: Bacteria; Pseudomonadati; Pseudomonadota; Gammaproteobacteria; Enterobacterales; Enterobacteriaceae
Also listed under: 1 other name
Description: RtT sRNA
Rfam family: RtT RNA
About the family: This family represents a bacterial cis-regulatory element known as RtT RNA. The exact function of RtT is unknown although it is thought that it may be involved in changing the cellular response in relation to amino acid starvation.
Source: RNAcentral